Chanos chanos (milkfish) is the source of this 351-nucleotide non-coding RNA. NCBI's taxonomy places the organism in Eukaryota, Metazoa, Chordata, Actinopteri, Gonorynchiformes, Chanidae. The record is from the annotation of a RefSeq genome assembly.
AUGUUCUCCUCCUCUCUACUACUUCUGCUGCUGCUGGCAGCUGUAAACAGUGUGACUGGUCAGACACUGACUGAGUCUGAACCAGUGAUCAUUAAACCUGGUGGAUCUCAUAAACUGACCUGUACAGCAUCUGGGUUUAACUUUGGUAGCAACUGGAUGGCUUGGGUCAGACAGGCUCCUGGAAAAGGACUGGAAUGGGUGUCAACUAUUAGCUCUGAUGGUGGUAGCAAAUAUUACUCCAGUGGUGUUCAGGGAAGGUUCACCGUCUCCAGAGACAACAGUAAGAAUCAGCUCUAUCUACAGUUGAACAGCCUGAAGACUGAAGACACAGCUGUGUAUUACUGUGCCAGA